RNAcentral lists this ribosomal RNA (680 nucleotides) under uncultured bacterium. RNAcentral's name for it is "bacterial SSU rRNA". It matches the Rfam family "Bacterial small subunit ribosomal RNA", at positions 790 to 1482 of the family's 1533-position model. The record is from RNAcentral.
GUAGUCCACGCCGUAAACUAUGAUCACUCGUUGUUGGCAAUACAUCGUCAGCGACUGAGCGAAAGCAUUAAGUGAUCCACCUGGGGAGUACGGUCGCAAGAUUGAAACUCAAAGGAAUUGACGGGGGCCCGCACAAGCGGAGGAACAUGUGGUUUAAUUCGAUGAUACGCGAGGAACCUUACCUGGGCUUAAAUGCAGGACGACGGAUCGGGAAACCGGUCCUUCCUUCGGGACGGACUGCAAGGUGCUGCAUGGUUGUCGUCAGCUCGUGCCGUGAGGUGUCGGGUUAAGUCCCAUAACGAGCGCAACCCUUAUCGUUAGUUGCCAGCGGGUCAUGCCGGGGACUCUAACGAAACUGCCGGUGUAAACCGAGAGGAAGGUGGGGAUGACGUCAAAUCAGCACGGCCCUUAUGUCCAGGGCUACACACGUGUUACAAUGGUCGGUACAAAGGGCAGCUACCUGGCAACAGGAUGCAAAUCUCGAAAACCGAUCUCAGUUCGGAUUGGAGUCUGCAACUCGACUCCAUGAAGCUGGAUUCGCUAGUAAUCGCGCAUCAGCCAUGGCGCGGUGAAUACGUUCCCGGGCCUUGUACACACCGCCCGUCAAGCCAUGGAAGCCGGGGGUACCUGAAGUCUGUAACCGCAAGGAGCGGCCUAGGGUAAAACUGGUGACUGGGGCU